GUUCCUGUAGUUUUAUGUGUCUUUUGGGGAUAAUUUAUUGUUCC
Molecule: transfer RNA, 44 nt
Filed under: Emydura tanybaraga
Lineage: Eukaryota; Metazoa; Chordata; Testudines; Chelidae
Description: partial tRNA-Glu
Source: RNAcentral